GUUUUGCUUGAAUAUGAACAUCAAGCAGAGUGGAGACUGCUCCACCAGCAGGAAGUGGACUACAGCGCAGGGCAUUCUGGGUAAAUGCAACCAAA
Molecule: long non-coding RNA, 95 nt
Organism: Xiphophorus couchianus (Monterrey platyfish)
Lineage: Eukaryota; Metazoa; Chordata; Actinopteri; Cyprinodontiformes; Poeciliidae
Exons: 3
Source: RefSeq, a predicted model, not a curated record